ACAGACCCUAACGUUCCUCUCUCCUCUCCCUUUCAACGUUAACCUGCCACCCCAACGUCACCACCACCCCACUCCCCGUCACUUCCAUCACUUCACCACCACCACAGCAACAUCCCACGAAAUCCGCUGCCUUCUCUUUUCUCACACUCCAUCUCUGAAAGCUUGCAGGCUCCAUGUGCAAUUUCAGCCGAUUUCAGGUUUCUUUUUGGCGUCAAAAUCUCUUUUCAAGUUCUCGGCUGAAACAACAAGCUUUCGAGUGGAUUCGGAGACUCGCCGACGACAAUAGCCUCAGUUCGCUGUCACGGAGAAGGUAAUCACAUUCGUCCUAUCUUCGUCUUUAAUUUUGUAAAACUAGAAAUGUAGUCGUUCAAGUAUUUCUUGUCGUAUAUUUGGUUUAGUUGGCUGGAAUGUGUGUUCUCCUCGUUUGUUGUAAAUUAGUGUGAAACGAAUUAUUUCAUCGAAUAUGUGCUUAACCCCGUCGCUGCUCGGCAAAAAGAUAAUUCUCAAAAUCCCUCUCUUUUAAAUUUUUUUCGCUUUUAGUUCUGUCAUGGUAUAGCAUUAUGCGGUUUGUGUUUUAGACAAGUUUAGGUCUAAUCAUGUGUAACAACCUUAAAUCUUGAGAUUUUACUAGUUUAAGCUUCGAAAAAAUAAAACUAGCAAUGCUCUAGUGUUAGCUUAAUACUGCCUUGAAUAGUUGCUGAUAUUUACUAGUGUCACUUUGUUUUAUAUGAUCAGUUUAGUUUAAAGCUAAUGGGAAAUCUGGUUUAAAUUAGCAUAAGAUAAAAUUGAUGUGCUGUUUGGAGCAAUUAACAUACGUCAGUUUCAGCUCUUGGGCUGGUUUAUAUUGUCUUAAGGAGAUUAGAUGUUGUUUUAGAUUUAAACAAUCUAAAGAUGUCUUUUGAAACAUACUUGAGCACCUGGCAGCCUUGAUAUAUAGACAUUUAAUUCAAAUUUGAUCAGAAAAUUUCUCUUAUUAAUCCCUGCUUCAUGGAUUGGGAUAUCUGUCGAUUUGAAACUGUAUUAUGUUGACUCUGUCAUGUAUUUGAAACUGUUUGUGUUGGCCAAACAACCUGUAGUGAGAGUCAUUCACCAUUUUUUUUUCUCUUUGCUUAAUUGUUUAUGAGUUGUUGAAAGGAAAUGGAGGGAAUUUACACGCUGGUUUGAAUAAAAAUGGGAAUAGAUCACUGUUCAUACGAUUAUUUAGGAGGCCUCAGUUCUCAGCAUUUGACUGAGCUUAAGUUAAUAGCCUUGAAGAUUUAAAUGAUAGGCUAAUGGUUGUGCAUGUAUGAACUUGGUUCUGGUUGGGUAUAGCUGUUCUCAGUGCUUGUUAGUUUCAGUAUUCUUGCCAUUAUGGAUAGUUGAGUUAGUCUAAUGUGGGGUUGAAGUAAGUUUCUUAGAUUUAUUCUAGUAGAAACUUUGGGUAGAAAUGGAUCUUAUGGGCUGUUUCAUUACUGUCUAUAAUAGCUUCCCUUAUGUGCAUCCGGAUUCAAGUUGCAAUACAAGUUCAGCUUAUCAAGUCUGUGUCAAUAUGAUAUAGGUCUAGUCUGUGGACUUAUUUUCGUUUAAGAUACUUUUGGGGUCUGAUUGCUUAACACAUGCCCUUUUAGCAUUGUAUGGUGGCUGCCUGAAAUAAAUAGGGAUAAGGUUAUAUUUUAGCUCAAACCACAAGUUCUGUGUUGAUCUAUUGUGUGCAAGGUGUUGCUCUUUCCUGAAUUGAAUUAAGUUAUCUCAACUAGAAUACAUGUUAGUUAUUGAAUUAUGUGUCAAGAGGUUAGGAAACAAAUUAAGAACCCAUUCUGCUAUUGUUUGGCCCUCUUCUUAAAAAUGAUAAAAAUACAUAAUAUAGGAAGUGAUGGAUUUGCCAACCUAAUCUUCCUGUGAGCAUAUAGGACAUGCAUGUUUGAAUUUCUGUGGUCGUUUAUCUCUUCUUUUUCUUCUGUUAUCUUUUAGGUGUUUAAGAUUUUCACUUGAGAGAACUAAGUCUAGCAUGAUUUUUGAUCCGUUGAUAGUUGGAUCCUAUAAUUCCCUCAUGGUGGAAAAGAUAUUAGCCUGACUGAGUGCUAUUUCCCAGUUAGAAAACCCUGAACCUUUCUUUAUCUUUAAAUUAUCCUGAGGUUGUAUGUUAAAAUUCUUUUGUUUAAAUUUUGAGUCAUAAUCUUGCUCAGCUUUGCUAGUUCAAUGUGUGAUUAACUCAUGAUAAAUUUGUGAUGAGAUUAGUGUGAAGUUUUUUCAUUAGAUAUAGCUACAUCCGUCCUGUUACAUUCUGUUUGACUCAAAAAUAAAGAAUCAGUUAUGAGCUCAGCUAAAUACAAAUCAUAUGUUUUUUUUUUUCCAAGCUUUGUGAAGAGUCAAGACUAUGGUUUAAAAGUAGGGAAAAGGGGCCUGAUUUGCCCCUCUACUUUGAGAAAUGGUUCAUAUUUACCCCUCGUUAUACUAUCAAUCCACUUAUACCCCUACCGUUAGAAUAGUUGCAAUAUUUACCCCUAUAUUUAACCCUUGUCCACUGUGGCCAAUGUCGUGGGCCAGGCUUGUCCACUGUGUUCCAUUACAUUGCCACAUAAGAGGCCAUGUCAGCAAUCCCAAUUAAAUGAGUCUUAAAAUUAAAAGAUCAAAUGAUGCCUUCUUCUUCACCAUUAAAUGCCUUCUUGUUAUUAAAACAUCCCCGCCACUUUGUUGAAGAUCCCCCCACUUUGCUGGAACAAAUUUCACCGUUGAAGAUUGAAGAAUUAAACUGAGCACCGGAGCCGCCGACCAGAAACGUUGAACCCGUACCUCACCCACAACUCAAUAUGAGUCUCAAAUUAGAAGGAACAACUUUUCAACGCUGAUUUAUGGGGGUUUUGGACGGUGGCAUUAAACAGGAGUGGUCUAGGGUGGUGUGACGACGAAAAAAAUGGGUCUAUUUAGGAUGGUGGCGGUGAGAGGUGGAGAUGACGCCCUGGCGGUAUUGGUUACCGGUGAUUAAAAGAAUAGGAAGAGAUGGUAUAUUUUUGUUUUUUCUUUUCUCUGUUCGUCACUCUCCCUCUAUUUUUUUUUUAAUCUGUGUGUGUCCUUUUUUUCAAUGUAUGGUGUGUGUUUUUAUCUUAUAAAAAAAAUGAAGAAGAAGAAAUGUGUGCUGUUACUUUUUUGGGAUUUUCCGGUGAAGAAAUGAAGAUGAUGAAGAAGAAGGCAUUUUAAUGGCAUUUUAAUAAGAAGAAGAAGGCAUUUUAAUAAGAAGAAGAAGGCAUUUUAAUGGUGAAGAAGAAGGCAUCAUUUGGUCUUGUAAUUUUAAGACUCAUUUAAUUGGGAUUGCUGACAUGGCCUCUUACGUGGCAAUGUAAUGGAACACAGUGGACAAGCCUGGCUCACGACAUUGGCCACAGUGGACAAGGGUUAAAUAUAGGGGUAAAUAUUGCAACUAUUCUAACGGUAGGGGUAUAAGUGGACUGAUAGUAUAACGAGGGGUAAAUAUGAACCAUUUUUCAAAGUAGAGGGGCAAAUCAGGUCCUUUUCCCUUAAAAGUACCCUUUGAAAGAAAUUAGGCUUCCCAGAUUCUUAACUUUAAGGACUAGCUCGUAUUUUCCUAUGAUGAUUCCUGGAAAACUCUCAGUUAAGUUGUGAGAUUAUGUUGAUGAAUUCAUUCACUUUUAAGGGCAUGAAAACUUGCAUUAUUUAUCAUCCCAAAGUAUUUUUUUUCAAUGCCUGGACUGGUUAUAUCACUCAAAGAAAUGUCUUCUGUGGACAUGUAUUACUUUGUUAAAACCACUUUGUGUUUGUUGGAUACUCCUUCUUUCCCUUUUCGUUCCCUUGCAUAAUUUGGGGAAAUACCCCAACCCCAAAUGAUCCUGAGAUUCUACUUCCCUUGAAAAGCUGCUUGAUAAAAAAUGGCUAUUGCUUGGUUUGUUUUUUUUUUUUUUUUUUUCUGAGGGCAUCUCUCUUGUUUUGGUGAGUAAAUUCCGAGCAGCAAACUACUGUAAGUUACUACUGUAUUGCUGCUGCAUUGCUGCCCACGGCUGCUGCGUUUUUUUUGGGAAAAUGCCACCUUUUGAACACUUUGGGGGCGGGAAAUGGCUGCUGCAUUGCUGCCCACAAUGCUGCGUUUCUUGAGGCCAUUUCUGCUGCAUUGUAAGGCCAUUCGCUGUUGUGUCUUGAGCCAAACGAGCACAAUAUUUUUGGGGAAACAUAUGCAAUGUUUUGAACAAAUAAGUGUAGUUUCAAAGCAGUUUUGAACAGCUCCUACACUCUGAUGAUUCAUUAUCGUGUUAUGUUGCUUCCUAGUGAGUCAAUGCUGCACUUGUGAUAUUUUUACUGAUCUGAACUUGAUACUACGCUUAGGGCCGAUGAAGAGUUGUUUAACUUGAGGCCUCACUUCUAAAAGAACGGAUUUCCAUACUUAAUUGAAAGUUAACUGAUUUGAACACUUAAAACUUGCAUAAAAAGGGAGUGGGGCUGCUAUACUCAAGUUCGGGUGCAAUUAAUAUGCUAAAUUAUUUUUUCCUUAUAUGUUAUUUUUUCCUUACAUUUGAUUCUUUUAUCUAACUUUUAAUAAUUAAAGUUAUAUAGAUUCCUUUUUCCUUGUCGAGAAUUGUUUCUAAUCCUUACCUUUUUUUUUUCUUUUUCAUGAGGAACCUUGAGAGCAUUUGGAGUUAUGGCAACUUCGGAUUCUGCCCAUAUCAAAGAGCGGCCAGCAGCAGAUUUAUUUGCUCGUGUCUAGCAGUCCCACCUCGUCCACGUCUCGAGUCUCCGUCCUUCUUCCUUAUUCAAAAUUUCAAGCCUCCAUAUUGUUUGAUACAUGCUAUUUAUAUUAUUUGACUAACACUCUUGUGAAUUUGUAUUUUUUGUAGUUUUGUUUUGAACGCGUAACUUGACUUAAGUAUAUUAGUAAGUUUAGUCAUUAUCUUCCCUA
Lycium barbarum (goji berry) is the source of this 4885-nucleotide long non-coding RNA. RefSeq lists it as uncharacterized. The transcript is spliced from 2 exons. The record is from RefSeq and is a predicted model, not a curated record. Lineage: Eukaryota; Viridiplantae; Streptophyta; Magnoliopsida; Solanales; Solanaceae.